Molecule: ribosomal RNA, 427 nt
Filed under: uncultured bacterium
Lineage: Bacteria
Description: partial 16S ribosomal RNA
Rfam family: Bacterial small subunit ribosomal RNA
Source: RNAcentral
UGGGGAAUAUUGCACAAUGGGCGCAAGCCUGAUGCAGCCAUGCCGCGUGUAUGAAGAAGGCCUUCGGGUUGUAAAGUACUUUCAGCGGGGAGGAAGGUGUUGAGGCUGAUAACCUCAGCAAUUGACGUUACCCGCAGAAGAAGCACCGGCUAACUCCGUGCCAGCAGCCGCGGUAAUACGGAGGGUGCAAGCGUUAAUCGGAAUUACUGGGCGUAAAGCGCACGCAGGCGGUCUGUCAAGUCGGAUGUGAAAUCCCCGGGCUCAACCUGGGAACUGCAUUCGAAACUGGCAGGCUAGAGUCUUGUAGAGGGGGGUAGAAUUCCAGGUGUAGCGGUGAAAUGCGUAGAGAUCUGGAGGAAUACCGGUGGCGAAGGCGGCCCCCUGGACAAAGACUGACGCUCAGGUGCGAAAGCGUGGGGAGCAAACA